GACGAACGCUGUCGGCGUGCUUAACACAUGCAAGUCGAGCGGUAAGGCCCUUCGGGGUACACGAGCGGCGAACGGGUGAGUAACACGUGGGUGACCUGCCCUCCACUCUGGGAUAAGCCUGGGAAACUGGGUCUAAUACCGGAUAGGACACAUGGAUGCAUGUCUGUGUGUGGAAAGUAGGUGUCUUUAGGGGCACUGUCGGUGGGGGAUGGGCCCGCGGCCUAUCAGCUUGUUGGUGGGGUGAUGGCCUACCAAGGCGGUGACGGGUAGCCGGCCUGAGAGGGCGACCGGCCACACUGGGACUGAGACACGGCCCAGACUCCUACGGGAGGCAGCAGUGGGGAAUAUUGCGCAAUGGGCGGAAGCCUGACGCAGCGACGCCGCGUGGGGGAUGACGGCCUUCGGGUUGUAACC
RNAcentral lists this ribosomal RNA (414 nucleotides) under uncultured bacterium. RNAcentral's name for it is "bacterial SSU rRNA". It matches the Rfam family "Bacterial small subunit ribosomal RNA", at positions 28 to 430 of the family's 1533-position model. The record is from RNAcentral.